CCUACGGGUGGCAGCAGUCGAGAAUCAUUCACAAUGGGGGAAACCCUGAUGGUGCGACGCCGCGUGGGGGAAUGAAGGUCUUCGGAUUGAAAACCCCUGUCAUGGGGGAGCAAAGUAAAAAGAUCGUACCACAAGAGGAAGAGACGGCUACAUCGGUGCCAGCAGCCGCGGUAAUACAGAGGUCUCAAGCGUUGUUCGGAAUCACUGGGCGUAAAGCGUGCGGAGGCUGUUUCGUAAGUCGUGUGUGAAAGGCGCGGGCUCAACCCCGGAACUGCCAUUAUGACUAUGUAUCUAGAGUAAUGGAGAGGAUAGCGGAAUACCCAGUGUAGAGGUGAAAUUCGUAGAUAUUGGGUAGAACACCGGUGGCGAAGGCGGUUAUCUGGACAUUUACUGACGCUGAGGCUCGAAAGCAUGGGGAUCAAACAGGAUUAGAUACCCGUGUAGUC
Molecule: ribosomal RNA, 446 nt
Filed under: uncultured bacterium
Lineage: Bacteria
Description: partial 16S ribosomal RNA
Rfam family: Bacterial small subunit ribosomal RNA
Source: RNAcentral